GCUCGAGUGGCUAACGGGUGAGUAACACGUGAGUAACCUGCCCUUGACUUUGGGAUAACUUCAGGAAACUGGGGCUAAUACCGGAUGGGAGCUCCUGCUGCAUGGUGGGGGUUGGAAAGUUUCGGCGGUUGGGGAUGGACUCGCGGCUUAUCAGCUUGUUGGUGGGGUAGUGGCUUACCAAGGCUUUGACGGGUAGCCGGCCUGAGAGGGUGACCGGCCACAUUGGGACUGAGAUACGGCCCAG
RNAcentral lists this ribosomal RNA (244 nucleotides) under uncultured Actinomycetales bacterium. RNAcentral's name for it is "partial 16S ribosomal RNA". It matches the Rfam family "Bacterial small subunit ribosomal RNA", at positions 89 to 334 of the family's 1533-position model. The record is from RNAcentral. Lineage: Bacteria; Bacillati; Actinomycetota; Actinomycetes; Actinomycetales.